Molecule: long non-coding RNA, 4081 nt
Filed under: Daucus carota (carrot)
Lineage: Eukaryota; Viridiplantae; Streptophyta; Magnoliopsida; Apiales; Apiaceae
Description: long non-coding RNA (DCAR_LNC004446)
Source: RNAcentral
AGGAACUGUAAUUACCAAACCAUGAGAGCAGACGGGAUCCCAAACCGGAAGAAGUCCUUGAUUGUACCAAAGAUUUCCCAAGAUAAUGGAGCACGAGUAUCAGCACAUUUGGGUGAAUACAUGGCAUAAAGGCCAAGAAAGAUAGCAUUAAACCAAUACGAUAAGCCCAUAGCAUAUGCUGCUCCAUCGCUUCCCAUAUUGAACUUAAACACAAAUGCCCAACAAACCGGUACAUGAAAUAGCAGAGUUGCCACUGAGCUUGUAAGCAGAGGAAGAAUCAAAUACUGAGACUGCAAGUAGCGGACCAAUGGCUGGAGAAUAGCAUAGGGGAACAAAGCUGGUAUCAUCCUGAUCGAAUACUUUCCAGCUUCGUGUGAAAUCAGGGGAUCUUGUUUCAUUAGGACCAGGAGUUUCUCCAUGAAGAUCCACAGAAUACCUAUUGGUAUGCAAAUUAUGAGGAGAGAUAUUAUGGCCCCAUAAGUAUAGUGUGAAAGUUUUUUGUGCUGCUUCGCGCCAUAUGCUUGUCCACAUAAAGUUUCCAGUGCACUAGCCAUUCCAAACUGUUUUUAACAGAUCAAUAUCUAAUUAUCAAUAACAUGAAACUCAUCAAUUUGGAACUGAAAGUACGUCAUGGUGGCUGGGAGUUUAUGCCUUUUAGCAUCAGACCUUAGGCAGGACAGAAUUAAUCAAUGCAAAACAUGGUCUGAUAAAACAUGAAACACUUUCCUAAAAUACAAAUAUUGCUUAAAGAAUUUGGAAAGCAAAACUUAUAUCCUUCUAAAUUCUGGGAAUAACAUCCGUAUGAUAAACAUGAAUAGUCAAUAUUUGUCUGUACCAGCACCAAUAGGUCCGUUGACGAAGUGUUCUUGAAAAGUUGACUUGGAUCAUACCAUUAAAAACAAUGAGCUGAAUCUAAUCUUCAAAAUUUUGUUACUAAUCCUCAAAAGUUUUGUAAUAACACUCAUUUUCAAUAACAGACCCUUCUCUACGAGCGGGAUGUUUACAGAACAGAACAGACAAGUCAAAAAUUCCCUUAAAUAAGACCUGAAAACUUGUUUGCUUAUGUGCUACUCAAAUCUUUAAGAAAGAAGAGAAAAAGUAGAAACUCACAAGAAAGCUGAAGCCGGUGACAUUAGUGAAAGACAUGGAGACCACAGCACCGGAGAGUUGCAGUUUUCCAACAUGACCAAUCAUUAAAGUAGACACAAAUCUCAACAUAUACUGUGAAGUUGUCACAAUUAACAUUGGUGUGAAAAUCAUAUUGAUCUGCUUAGCCUCUGCUUUAAAAUCACCCCAUGUUGACUUUUUAAGCAUCUGUUUCUCUUUGUUUUCCGGGGUCUUCACUGCCACAGAAGCCUCUGAGUCUCCCAUGGCUUCUCCUUCUUCUGCUGCUGUAGCUAACAAGUGUUACUGUAACUAAUUCUCUAGCAAGAGUAAAAUGAGAGAAGGAUAAAUUGUCUAGGACAACAGAUUGUUAACUAACUAAAUUCUUAUAUGUCAACUGUUGGUGAGUCCAUCUCCUGGCUGCGCUCAUAUGUGUUUGAAUUGUAUUACUAUAUUACACUACUUCAUUUUCAACAAUUAUUAGUAUUCGUUAUCAUUGUUAAAUUUCCUAGUAAAUGCAUUGACAGUGACUCGGGGCCGGUCAUAAAUCAAACGUGUUUCAGGCUAUAAAUUAUAUGUGCAGCAAAAGGUGGUGGUUAGAGUGGACAUGUCUGAUCCAAGAAGUCUCGGGCUAAGGCCAUGAAGAUUGCAGAUACUUUCUGGUAUGCAUUUUUUUCGCGGGAAUUGUGUUCCUUGCUGUUGUGAUCACCGUCUGAUGUAAUGUAUAUUUGCUCCAUCAUGUGAUCAGCUCACUCCUGAGGAUAUAUACAUGAUCAUCUGUAGCUUCUGCUUCUGUUUUGACAAAUCUAUAGAAAAGCUAAUGAUAAUAAAGAUGUCUGAUGCACCUUAUAUGUAACCGGCUCCUUGUCAAUAUUAUUAUUAUUAUCAGUUUGUAUUGUGAUCGCUCUAAAAUUAAUGUAGCCACAGAUUCAGGUUCAGAUAAACCAUCAGUACUUCGGUACAGACUCAAUUCUUGCUGCAAAAGCUUGUUAUCGUUAAGGUGAUAUAAGCUGUUUGAAUCGCGAAUGCUGAAUGAUAAAGUAUCUGUAUCGAAAGCCACUAAGCAUAUUGGCUUGCUUCUUCAUAACAUGAUGGUUGGAUGAAUACUGCAUUUGGCUCUCAAUGAGAGAGCUAUACAAAUUAUGUUUGAAAAACCAACACAAAUUGAACUAAGAAAAGGUAACAAAAGUAAGCUGUUAAUUAACUGUUUGUGUCUGUCUUUAAACGAACAUACAAUCAUUUAUCCUCAUUUGAUUUCCUUUUAGCAAUCAAAAUAGGCAUCUGAACCACCUGUUUCUAUAUACAUAUACAUGUAGGAAUGAAAACGACAUAUAGACAUUACAAUAUCACUCAAUAACUGGUCAUCUCCUCUACUGGCACUCAAGGCUACUUGCAAAACUUCUUCUCACUUCUUCUCGUCAGAAGCUUUCAUUUCAAGCACCCUUUCCUUCGUGUCUUCAACCUGUAACAGAAAUUAUAUAUUUAUCAGCUGAAAUUCUCACUUCAGGAUCUGCUAAAAUGUGUGUUCACUGUUUUCAUAUAUUGUUUAAUUAAAUGGUUAAAUAUAUGUUAACAAGUCGGUUAAAAGAAUAGAACCUCUUUUUUCCAGUUGGUAAAGCUUGUUAUAAUAGCAAGCAGUAUACUUUGCACCAGAGAUCCUGCUACUAGACCGAUCCAAAGACCCUUGGCCCUCAUAUGCACUAGGAAACCCAAAAGUAGUGCCAUUGGAAUUCCUACCAGAUAAUAUGACCCGAGAUUCACAUAAGCCCCUAAACGCUGCCAUCCUGUUCCUCUUGCAACUCCUGCAAAUACAUGAAUGUAACUUAUUAUACGAGGAAAAUGGUAACACUCUUUUAUGAAAGAGUUUACAUUGCUUGAAUAAAUAGAAUAACUUAUGACAUUAAUUACCGGAAAGUAUUCCUUGGACAGCGUCCAAGAUCAUGGUGAGACAUAUAAAUGGAGUCAUCCUCCUCACAUAGUCUAUAAUAUCCUUAUCGCUCACAAAUGCACGUCCCAGAACAUGGCGGAGGGAGUAAAGUACUACAGCUGCAACACUGACCUCUAUAACUCCGAGUACCAUAACUACCCAGACAGUUGUCCUAACAGCCUGUGGAUUCCCAGCCCCCAAUUCAUUUGAAACCCGAACACUGCAGAUACUCAAGAUAUUCUAUUAAUUAAGUGAGACAAUAUAGUUGGAUAGAUACAUAUAGGUAACAAAUUUCACACGCACCUUGCAGCAACACCAAGAGAAAACGGAGCAAAAUAAUGUAGCACAGCCACCGUGAUACUGUUGAAGACAAGAUUAUUGAUCAUCAGAAGGGAGCAAUUUUUUCUAUUGAGUUGUAUAUUAGUACAAUAAUAUAUUCAGAUUAUCAUUUUGAAGGUAAUAUGAUAGAAAGAAUCAUUUGCCUGAUCGACAGCACUGAAGUCUCCAGUUGGGGAUUUCUCAUUACUCCAGCCAGCAAUAUAAUUAUCUCAUAUGCCCACCAUUCAAGACUGCAAAGAUUCAAAAAGCAUUGGUUAAAGAAUAUAAAGCAUAUGCCUUGUGAACUAAAUAACUACAAUUGGAGCCAAAACCUGAAACUUAUGGAGGAUAUAAUAAAAACUCUAGGCUAAAUAGGACAAUUAGUUUAUAAAAAAGGUACUACUUUGGAAAUGUUAGGAAGUAUGGCACUAGAACAAAAAAGGAAAAAAAAUUAAAUUUAUCGUUAGUAUAGGAAUUGUAGUUACCAAACCAUGAGAGCAGAUGGGAUCCCAAACCGGAAGAAGUCCUUGAUUGUACCGAAGAUUUCCCAAGAUAAUGGAGCGCGAGUAUCAGCACAUUUGGGCGAAUACAUGGCAUAAAGGCCGAGAAAGAUAGCAUUAAACCAAUACGAUAAACCAAUAGCAUAUGCUGCUCCAUCACUUCCCAUAUUGAACUUAAACACAAAUGCCCAACAAACCGGUACAUGAAAUAGCAGAGUUGCCACUGAGCUUG